GCAUCGGCGAUCGAUCUGGGCAGCAUCCCGCAUGCUGCACGUACAUUGACCGAGUGAGUGAGAAGCCUUCACCGGUUUUCCACAGCCUCCGCAUCCCAAGGCUAGUAGCUUCUGCAUCUUUGCUGCAAGAGACCGAGAAAUUUGAAUGCGAAAAACUGUCACGAAAACACGUCAUAGACGGCUACCGCUAGUCGCACGCAGCAUUCGUUGGUUUAUAGCAGCAUGGCAGGCAUAGGAGAACAUGCG
Molecule: long non-coding RNA, 246 nt
Filed under: Priapulus caudatus
Lineage: Eukaryota; Metazoa; Priapulida; Priapulimorpha; Priapulimorphida; Priapulidae
Description: uncharacterized LOC106814479, transcript variant X3
Source: RNAcentral